GACGAACGCUGGCGGCGUGCUUAACACAUGCAAGUCGAACGGAAAGGCCCUGCUUUUGUGGGGUGCUCGAGUGGCGAACGGGUGAGUAACACGUGAGUAACCCGCCCCUGACUUUGGGAUAACUUCAGGAAACUGGGGCUAAUACAGGAUAGGAGCUCCUGCUGCAUGGUGGGGGUUGGAAAGUUUCGGCGGUUGGGGAUGGACUCGCGGCUUAUCAGCUUGUUGGUGGGGUAGUGGCUUACCAAGGUUCUGACGGGUAGCCGGCCUGAGAGGGUGACCGGCCACAUUGGGACUGAGAUACGGCGCAGACUCCUACGGGAGGCAGCAGUGGGGAAUAUUGCGCAAUGGGCGGAAGCCUGAUGCGACGACGCCGCGUGCGGGAUGACGGCCUUCGGGUUAUAAACCGCUUUCGCCUGUGACGAAGCGUGAGUGACGGUAAUGGGUAAAGAAGCACCGGCUAACUACGUG
RNAcentral lists this ribosomal RNA (468 nucleotides) under uncultured bacterium. RNAcentral's name for it is "partial 16S ribosomal RNA". It matches the Rfam family "Bacterial small subunit ribosomal RNA", at positions 28 to 507 of the family's 1533-position model. The record is from RNAcentral.